AGCAGCCGCGGUAAUUCCAGCUCCAAUAGCGUAUAUUAAAGUUGUUGCAGUUAAAAAGCUCGUAGUUGAAUUUCGGGAUCAAUAUGUUGGUCGUGCCUUGGUACGUACUAAUUUAUUGGUUUCUUCCUUCUGACGAACCAUGAUGUCAUUAAUUUGGUGUCUUGGGGAAUCAGGACUGUUACUUUGAAAAAAUUAGAGUGUUUAAAGCAGGCUCACGCUUGAAUACAUUAGCAUGGAAUAAUGAAAUAGGAUGUUUGAUUCUAUUUUGUUGGUUUCUAGGAUCGACGUAAUGAUUAAUAGGGAUAGUUGGGGGCAUUAGUAUUCAAUUGUCAGAGGUGAAAUUCUUGGAUUUAUUGAAGACUAACUACUGCGAAAGCAUUUGCCAAGGAUGUUUUCAUUAAUCAAGAACGAAAGUUAGGGGAUCGAAGACGAUCAGAUACCGUCGUAGUCUAACCAUAAACUAUAGCCGACUAGGGAUCGGAUGAUGUUAAUUUUUAAUGUACUCAUUCGGCGCCUUACG
RNAcentral lists this ribosomal RNA (520 nucleotides) under uncultured Glomus. RNAcentral's name for it is "SSU rRNA". It matches the Rfam family "Eukaryotic small subunit ribosomal RNA", at positions 569 to 1092 of the family's 1831-position model. The record is from RNAcentral. Lineage: Eukaryota; Fungi; Glomeromycota; Glomeromycetes; Glomerales; Glomeraceae.